This 261-nucleotide ribosomal RNA is filed under the name uncultured bacterium. RNAcentral's name for it is "partial 16S ribosomal RNA". It matches the Rfam family "Bacterial small subunit ribosomal RNA", at positions 335 to 614 of the family's 1533-position model. The record is from RNAcentral.
AGCCUACGGGAGGCAGCAGUGAGGGAUAUUGGUCAAUGGGGGAAACCCUGAACCAGCAACGCCGCGUGAGGGAAGACGGUUUUCGGAUUGUAAACCUCUGUCCUCUGUGAAGAUGAUGACGGUAGCAGAGGAGGAAGCUCCGGCUAACUACGUGCCAGCAGCCGCGGUAAUACGUAGGUGGCGAGCGUUAUCCGGAAUGAUUGGGCGUAAAGGGUGCGUAGGCGGCCUGCUAAGUCUGGAGUGAAAGGUACCGGCUCGACC